GAUGAACGCUGGCGGCGUGCAUAACACAUUCAAGUCGAACGGUGAAGGGACUUCGGUCCCGGAUCAGUGGCGGACGGGUGAGUAACGCGUGAGCAACCUGCCUACGAUUGGGGGAUAACACAGGGAAACUUGUGCUAAUACCGCAUAACACAUACGAGUUGCAUGUCUUGUAUGUCAAAGAUACGUCGAUCGUAGAUGGGCUCGCGUCUGAUUAGGUAGUUGGUGAGGUAACGGCCCACCAAGCCUACGAUCGGUAGCCGAACUGAGAGGUUGAACGGCCACAUUGGAACUGAGAAACGGUCCAG
RNAcentral lists this ribosomal RNA (305 nucleotides) under uncultured bacterium. RNAcentral's name for it is "bacterial SSU rRNA". It matches the Rfam family "Bacterial small subunit ribosomal RNA", at positions 28 to 334 of the family's 1533-position model. The record is from RNAcentral.